RNAcentral lists this long non-coding RNA (807 nucleotides) under Mytilus galloprovincialis (Mediterranean mussel). Lineage: Eukaryota; Metazoa; Mollusca; Bivalvia; Mytilida; Mytilidae. The record is from RNAcentral.
CGAACAUUUGCCUGAGAAUGAACAUACACAAUUAGAAAUAAACUAACAAAAAAAUAGAAAGAAUAUACACAAUCUAAAUGAUGCCGUUAUAAAUAAAGACAAUAGUAGUAUACCGCUGUUCGAAGGUCAUACAUCGAUUGAGAGAAAACAAAUCCGGGUUACAAAGUAAAACUGAGGAAAAACGCAUCAACUGUAAGAGGGAAAAACGAAACAACAGAAACACUGAAGCGCAACAAAAAAAAAACAAAGCGACAGAUACACAAACACGAUCUUUAUGAUAACAACUGACAUUUUCCUGACUGGGUACAGAACAUUUUAAGAAAACAAUGGCGGGUUGAACCGAGUUUUGCGGCUAGCCAAACCUCGCGCUUUUGAAAUUUAUAUAUAACAGUAAAAUGACAACAAAGACUACAGUACAAAUAAUUGAACAUUCAGGACACAGAAAUACACAAAUAAACAUUACAAUAUGACAUUUUCGACAUGCUAAGAGUUAUCAAAGGUACCAGGCUUAUAACUUAAUACACUAUACGUGGGUUUCGUCUACAUAAGACUCACCAGUGAUGAUCAGAUCAAAAUAGUAAAGAAAGCCUAACAAGUACGAAGUUAAAGAGCAUUGAUGACCCAAAAUUCUAAAAAGUUGUGCCAAAUACGGCUAAGGUUAUCUAUGCCUGUGGAUAACCAGUGAUGUUAACCUAAAUUAAAGCGAUUAAAAGUAAGCUUAAUACACAACACGAAUACGACACGUUGAACUUAAAAUAAGAGAUUAUUGAAACUCCGUCAUUUCCCGAUUAGUGAUGACAAAAGAAA